RNAcentral lists this ribosomal RNA (468 nucleotides) under uncultured bacterium. RNAcentral's name for it is "partial 16S ribosomal RNA". It matches the Rfam family "Bacterial small subunit ribosomal RNA", at positions 28 to 507 of the family's 1533-position model. The record is from RNAcentral.
GACGAACGCUGGCGGCGUGCUUAACACAUGCAAGUCGAACGGAAAGGCCCUGCUUUUGUGGGGUGCUCGAGUGGCGAACGGGUGAGUAACACGUGAGUAACCUGCCCUUGACUUUGGGAUAACUUCAGGAAACUGGGGCUAAUACCGGAUAGGAUCUCCUGCUGCACGGUGGGGGUUGGAAAGUUUCGGCGGUUGGGUAUGGACUCGCGGCUUAUCAGCUUGUUGGUGGGGUAGUGGCUUACCAAGGCUUUGACGGGUAGCCGGCCUGAGAGGGUGACCGGCCACAUUGGGACUGAGAUACGGCCCAGACUCGUACGGGAGGCAGCAGUGGGGAAUAUUGCACAAUGGGCGGAAGCCUGAUGCAGCAACGCCGCGUGCGGGAUGCCGGCCUUCGGGUUGUAAACCGCUUUCGCCUGUGACGAAGCGUGAGUGACGGUAAUGGGUAAAGAAGCACCGGCUAACUACGUG